Molecule: RNA transcript, 1293 nt
Organism: Tarenaya hassleriana
Lineage: Eukaryota; Viridiplantae; Streptophyta; Magnoliopsida; Brassicales; Cleomaceae
Gene name: deoxycytidylate deaminase
Exons: 10
Source: RefSeq, a predicted model, not a curated record
UGAUUAGGUUACAGAGAACAGAACGAAUCUUUUCUCGCCGGACGGAAAAUUUCCCUGAAGAUUUUCUCGCGUCUUCUUUGUCCUCGUGAAGCUCCAUGAACUCACGAGAUCUUGCCCUUGUCUCUACGGCGGCUAUUUUUGGUGCUUUAACUUCAGCGGUUGCUUUUCGCUUCUUCCCCUUGAACCUUAGAAAACCCAACUCCCGAAGAACUGCUUCCACACAAAAUGGCGAACUUUCCAGAAGAUUCCCGGCUCAGGAUCCUUUUGAUCCUUCGAAACGAAAAGGAUACUUAACAUGGGAUGAUUACUUCAUGGCGAUUGCAUUUCUGUCAGCGGAACGAUCAAAGGAUCCUAACAGGCAGGUGGGUGCCUGUUUGGUAAGCCAAGAUGGUGUGAUCCUUGGGAUUGGUUAUAAUGGGUUUCCUCGAGGUUGUUCAGACGACAAACUUCCUUGGGCUAAGAAAUCAAAAACUGGGGACCUUUUGGAGACGAAGUACCCCUAUGUUUGCCAUGCUGAAGUUAAUGCCAUACUGAACACAAACCAUGCAUCCGCCGCCGGACAGAAGCUCUAUGUUACGAUGUUUCCUUGCAACGAGUGCGCUAAGAUUAUUAUCCAGUCUGGUGUUGCUGAGGUCAUAUAUUUUGUAGAGAAGAGACUAACCAAGUCGGAUGUCGCUUAUGUAGCUUCUAACAGGCUCUUAUCCAUGGCCGGCAUCAAAGUAAGGAAACAUCAGCCACGGAUGGACGAGAUCUUGAUCAAGUUCCAAGAGCCCUGAGUCUGUCAUUUAUAUUUUCUUCUGCUAUUUGCUCCCCCAUUGCAGGAUCUAAGGACCUGACUGUACCAAAUUAAAAUAGAGGGCUAAGUCUUAAUUUUAUAGAAGUUCGCCUGCCAAAUUACAAUUUUCUUUCUUCCUCUUUUCUCUUUAAUGCAUCUACGGGAUAAUCCUCAAAUUGUUUUGCUUGGAGCAUCAUCAUGUUGAUUCAGAAUAUGAUUGGUGAUCAUUGCAAAUGAAAUCUACCAUAGAACUCCGAUUAGUAGGCGCGAUCAUAUUUUACAAAAUUGAUAGUCCUAAAGGUGGAUGCUUUACCCCAGAUGCGGACAAUUUUGCAACUUCAUAAAAGGUGGGGGCAAAAAUGAGAAAUCCAACUUGAGACGGGCUCAUCUUUUUUAUUUCCCUGUUCGAACACGUAGGUCGGUAUAUAAACACAGAUUCUGUCAUCAAGAAAGCUCGGAGUCUCAAAAGCAAUGUUCAGACAAGAACCAAAACAGCAGUUUCAUUCAUUCAUUCACAC